This 1372-nucleotide ribosomal RNA is filed under the name uncultured bacterium. RNAcentral's name for it is "bacterial SSU rRNA". It matches the Rfam family "Bacterial small subunit ribosomal RNA", at positions 28 to 1381 of the family's 1533-position model. The record is from RNAcentral.
GAUGAACGCUGGCGGCGUGCCUAAUACAUGCAAGUCGAGCGAACGGACGAGAAGCUUGCUUCUCUGAUGUUAGCGGCGGACGGGUGAGUAACACGUGGAUAACCUACCUAUAAGACUGGGAUAACUUCGGGAAACCGGAGCUAAUACCGGAUAAUAUUUUGAACCGCAUGGUUCAAAAGUGAAAGACGGUCUUGCUGUCACUUAUAGAUGGAUCCGCGCUGCAUUAGCUAGUUGGUAAGGUAACGGCUUACCAAGGCAACGAUGCAUAGCCGACCUGAGAGGGUGAUCGGCCACACUGGAACUGAGACACGGUCCAGACUCCUACGGGAGGCAGCAGUAGGGAAUCUUCCGCAAUGGGCGAAAGCCUGACGGAGCAACGCCGCGUGAGUGAUGAAGGUCUUCGGAUCGUAAAACUCUGUUAUUAGGGAAGAACAUAUGUGUAAGUAACUGUGCACAUCUUGACGGUACCUAAUCAGAAAGCCACGGCUAACUACGUGCCAGCAGCCGCGGUAAUACGUAGGUGGCAAUCGUUAUCCGGAAUUAUUGGGCGUAAAGCGCGCGUAGGCGGUUUUUUAAGUCUGAUGUGAAAGCCCACGGCUCAACCGUGGAGGGUCAUUGGAAACUGGAAAACUUGAGUGCAGAAGAGGAAAGUGGAAUUCCAUGUGUAGCGGUGAAAUGCGCAGAGAUAUGGAGGAACACCAGUGGCGAAGGCGACUUUCUGGUCUGUAACUGACGCUGAUGUGCGAAAGCGUGGGGAUCAAACAGGAUUAGAUACCCUGGUAGUCCACGCCGUAAACGAUGAGUGCUAAGUGUUAGGGGGUUUCCGCCCCUUAGUGCUGCAGCUAACGCAUUAAGCACUCCGCCUGGGGAGUACGACCGCAAGGUUGAAACUCAAAGGAAUUGACGGGGACCCGCACAAGCGGUGGAGCAUGUGGUUUAAUUCGAAGCAACGCGAAGAACCUUACCAAAUCUUGACAUCCUUUGACAACUCUAGAGAUAGAGCCUUCCCCUUCGGGGGACAAAGUGACAGGUGGUGCAUGGUUGUCGUCAGCUCGUGUCGUGAGAUGUUGGGUUAAGUCCCGCAACGAGCGCAACCCUUAAGCUUAGUUGCCAUCAUUAAGUUGGGCACUCUAAGUUGACUGCCGGUGACAAACCGGAGGAAGGUGGGGAUGACGUCAAAUCAUCAUGCCCCUUAUGAUUUGGGCUACACACGUGCUACAAUGGACAAUACAAAGGGCAGCGAAACCGCGAGGUCAAGCAAAUCCCAUAAAGUUGUUCUCAGUUCGGAUUGUAGUCUGCAACUCGACUACAUGAAGCUGGAAUCGCUAGUAAUCGUAGAUCAGCAUGCUACGGUGAAUACGUUCCCGGGUCU